AGGAGUCCCUGUUUCUGCUGCUCCAGUACCUGCCCCCUGGGGUCAUCGCCCUGGUCAACUUCCUGGGUCCCCUGCUGUUCACAUUCCUGGUCCAGCUGGAAAACUACCCUCCCAACACGGAGGUCAACCUCACUCUGAUCUGGCGGCGGAGGAAAGGAGGAGCUCGCCUGCAGUCAGGAUCCUGAAAAGGCCACAGGCUUCUCCACCGCAGGGCUUGCUGCAUGUGCCUCUCCACACCGGGCAUGAGGGAACAUGGCUGGACUGUGCAGUGUUUCUCAAACUGAUCUAAAAACAGAACCCUUGGCCAGGCGCCCUGGCCCACGCCUGUAAUCCCAGCACUUUGGGAGGCCAAGGCGGGUGGAUCACCUGAGGUCAGGAGUUCGAGACCAGCCUGGCCAACAUGGCGAAACCCUGUCUGUACUCAAAAUACAAAAUUUAGUCAGAAAUCGCUUGAACCCAGGAGGCAGAGGUGGCAGUGAGCCGAGGUCACACCACUGAACUCCUGCCUGGGUGACAGAGUGAGACUCGGUCUUGAAACAAAACAAAAACACAGAACCCUUUUUCCCAUGA
This 570-nucleotide small RNA is filed under the name Pan troglodytes (chimpanzee). RNAcentral describes it as "processed transcript". The record is from RNAcentral. Lineage: Eukaryota; Metazoa; Chordata; Mammalia; Primates; Hominidae.